This 468-nucleotide ribosomal RNA is filed under the name uncultured bacterium. RNAcentral describes it as "partial 16S ribosomal RNA". It matches the Rfam family "Bacterial small subunit ribosomal RNA", at positions 28 to 507 of the family's 1533-position model. The record is from RNAcentral.
GACGAACGCUGGCGGCGUGCUUAACACAUGCAAGUCGAACGGAAAGGCCCUGCUUUUGUGGGGUGCUCGAGUGGCGAACGGGUGAGUAACACGUGAGUAACCUGCCCUUGACUUUGGGAUAACUUCAGGAAACUGGGGCUAAUACCGGAUAGGAGCUCCUGCUGCAUGGUGGGGGUUGGAAAGUUUCGGCGGUUGGGGAUGGACUCGCGGCUUAUCAGCUUGUUGGUGGGGUAGUGGCUUACCAAGGCUUUGACGGGUAGCCGGCCUGAGAGGGUGACCGGGGACAGUGGGACUGAGAUACGGCCCAGACUCGUACGGGGGGCAGCAGUGGGGGAGAUUGCACAAUGGGCGGAAGCAUGAUGCAGCAACGCCGCGUGGGGGAUGGCGGGGGUAGGGUUGUAAGGAGAUUGCGCCUGGGAAGAAGCGUGAGUGGCGGUAAGGGGUAAAGAAGCACCGGAUAAAUACGUG